UCUGUAUUGUUAAUCUAAUUCAGCUCAAUAUUGGCUGUUGCUGGUAUUUAUAAUUGUGGCCGUUUGUUAUAUACGGUAACCAUGCCGUUAAUUGCAGGAUAGAAUGGUUCUUUAACUGCCUAAAAUAGACAAAACUAUUUCUCGACGUUUCGACCUAUGGGCCUUCGUCAGGAGAGUUAAUUAUUAUACAUCAAGUGUUGAUAAAACCUUCAAGCCGCAUGUUCCCUAGUUAUCCUUUAUGCUCAGCUAAUUAACAAACCUUAAGUUUAACCUAAAUAAAGCUCGCAGACCUAUGCAGAGCGGUGUAUAUUAAAAAUAACGGAGCGAUUAUAGAAUACCCGGCCACUUUUGAAUUUUGAUAGUGUUUGCUUUUGGGGGAUACGGGGAUACGCAGUCAUUAAAAUGACGUAAUUAUUCGAGUAGUUUAAGAGGAGAAUGGGUAACUAUUAUUUUUCAAUGAUACGGGGAUACGGGGAUACGCAGUCAUUAAAAUGACGUAAUUAUUCGAGUAGUUUAAGAGGAGAAUGGGUAACUAUUAUUCAAUGAUACGGGGAUACGGGGAUACGCAGUCAUUAAAAUGACGUAAUUAUUUGAGUAGUUUAAGAGGAAUUAUUCGAGUAGUUUAAGAAGAGAAUGGGUAACUAUUAUUUUUCAAUGAUACGGGGAUACGGGGAUACGCACUCAUUAAAAUGUCGUAAUUAUUCGAGUAGUUUAAGAGGAAUUAUUCGAGUAGUUUAAGAAGAGAAUGGGUAACUAUUAUUUUUCAAUGAUACGGGGAUACGGGGAUACGCAGUCAUUAAAAUGACGUAAUUAUUUGAGUAGUUUAAAAGGAGAAUGGGUAACUAUUAUUUUUCAAUGAUACGGGGAUACGCAGUCAUUAAAAUGACGUAAUUAUUCGAGUAGUUUAAGAGGAGAAUGGGUAACUAUUAUUUUUCAAUGAUACGGGGAUACGGGGAUACGCAGUCAUUAAAAUGACGUAAUUAUUCGAGUAGUUUAAGAGGAGAAUGGGUAACUAUUAUUUUUCAAUGAUACGGGGAUACGCAGUCAUUAACCCUAUUUGUACCGGGGGGUUUUCAUGUUGAUAUGACCGGGGGUGCGCUGAUAGGGCGCACCCCUCAGAAAUUCUGUCGAUUAACUGCUAUUAUCCUAUAAGUUUUAUUUUUACUAAGUUUCAUCUUUCUUUAACCUAAAUAUAACAAAAAAGUUAAAUUCACAUCCAAAAUGCUGUUUUUUGGCCCCAUUGAAUAUGACCGCCUAUCCGAAAAUGGCGAAUAUAGCUAAUAUUUUACCCAUUUUGGUUAUAUUUUGUAAAGAGAUAACAAAACAUUUUGGAUGUGAUAUU
Non-coding RNA from Paramuricea clavata, 1342 nucleotides. The record is from the annotation of a GenBank genome assembly. Lineage: Eukaryota; Metazoa; Cnidaria; Anthozoa; Malacalcyonacea; Plexauridae.